RNAcentral lists this long non-coding RNA (1190 nucleotides) under Homo sapiens (human). Its description in RNAcentral is "HSALNT0136961". Lineage: Eukaryota; Metazoa; Chordata; Mammalia; Primates; Hominidae. The record is from RNAcentral.
CUGGGAUUACAGGUGUGAACCACCACGCCCGGCCCCUAAAAAGCCCAUAUGUUUUCUUAAAAUCAUUUUCAGGUAAGCUUUUUCCAUGGGUUUUCGUGAUGAUAUAACAUACUCAGAACCCAUAGGCAAGUUCAUUUUAAAAAAAGAUGACCUCUUACAAAUGGUUCUAUUUCUUUCUCUGGCUAUUUGGUGUCAAGAUGACAAGUGGCUGGGAGGUGUGGGGUCUGUGUAGGAAGUCUCCCACAUGGCCACACUGAGAAUGUUUAUUGUAGAAAGGGAACUUUUGCCCUGUGAAGUCACCUCCUCCGAGUCACCAGUAGCUUUCUGAUAUUCUAUCACAGGAAAUUCCUGGUGGUCCACAAAAGCAGUCUUCUGAGUGCAGCUGCAGAGAGAGACAGAAAAUAAUUGCCGAAUUUGACAGCCUAUCUGUUUGCAAGUCUGCACUGUUUGAGAACCUCUUGAAAGCCCCACAGAGCUUGUUGGUGUCACCCUGGUUCUGGGCACACUCCAAAAACUGUUUGAUCUCAUGGAAACAAGGCUGCUGCUGCUGUGCUGGCCAGGUUCCCUGAUGCUGCUGGUAAGUGAUGUCAAGUUUUGCAGGCUCACCAUUACUUCCUCCACUGAAGCUCCCAGUGAGGGCAUAACCCAGUGUGUGACCCACAGCAGAGCCUACAGCCACGCCAGCUGCAGUGGUUGCCAUUUGGGCCAUCAGACUUGGCUGCCGGGGUGCAGGAGCAGGAGAGCCAACUGCAGAUGGGGGUGCCACUGCUGGCGGCUGAGCUGCUGGUGCUAGCCUGGGUGUAGCUCUCAUCUGAGGUGCCUGGCUGGUGGGAGGGGCCCUGUAGGAGGUGUGGCUUCGGCUUCCACGUGGCAUACUAGCUGCACGGCGGCUCAGUGUUUGGUAAUACUCAUUUUUGAAUUGAGUUGUUUGUUUUUGUCAUUGAGUUUUAGGAGUUGUUUAUUCUGGAUACGAAUCCCUUAUCAGAUAUGUCAUUUGCAAAUAUUUUCUGUCAUUCUGUGGGUUGUUUUUUCACUCUGUUGAUUGUGUCCUUUGAUGCAAAAAGUUUUAAACUUUCAUUAAAAGAAUGGUUCUUUAAUAUUUACUUUUGUUGACUGUGUUGUUGGUGUCGUAUCCAAGAAAUGGUUGUCAAAUCCAAUCUCAUGAAGAUUUCCCCGUUUUUUCUGAGAGU